UGUUGAUGAAACAAAGGUUGAUGAUAACAUUGAUGAUGAUGGUGAUAAUGCUAAUGUUGACUAAGCAUCUCUAUACAGGAGGUGAAGCUGAGACUGCGGGUAUGUGUUUCGAGGAGAAAGAGACCACAGAGGUGAAGUGCCAUUUUCAUCACAUCAAGUCAAGAGUCAAGCAUCAACUCAACCUACUGCUGUUGAUAUUAAUCUUGAACAUUUGGCCUAGGUUGUGUUUGCCAGGUUUCUAGACUAUAAAGUUACUCUGCCCCCACUUUUCAUACCAGAUUCUUUGGAAAGAGAUCACCCUGUGUAGCUCAAGCCCAAGGAGUGAGAAGUGUUGCCCCACCUCCUU
Molecule: long non-coding RNA, 346 nt
Organism: Eptesicus fuscus (big brown bat)
Lineage: Eukaryota; Metazoa; Chordata; Mammalia; Chiroptera; Vespertilionidae
Exons: 3
Source: RefSeq, a predicted model, not a curated record